RNAcentral lists this ribosomal RNA (163 nucleotides) under uncultured bacterium. RNAcentral's name for it is "partial 16S ribosomal RNA". It matches the Rfam family "Bacterial small subunit ribosomal RNA", at positions 355 to 511 of the family's 1533-position model. The record is from RNAcentral.
UAGGGAAUCUUCCACAAUGGGCGAAAGCCUGAUGGAGCAACGCCGCGUGUGUGAUGAAGGGUUUCGGCUCGUAAACACUGUUGUAAGAGAAGAAUGACAUUGAGAGUAACUGUUCAAUGUGUGACGGUAUCUUACCAGAAAGGAACGGCUAAAUACGUGUCAG